RNAcentral lists this long non-coding RNA (7077 nucleotides) under Sus scrofa (pig). Its description in RNAcentral is "lncRNA (ENSSSCG00065027794.1)". The record is from RNAcentral. Lineage: Eukaryota; Metazoa; Chordata; Mammalia; Artiodactyla; Suidae.
CUCGCGGCUGUUCUGACUCGUCUGGGUCUCCCUGACUCCGAAACGCUGGCUCUGGGCCGAGCGACUGUCCUGUUAGGUCCGGGAAGAGUCGUUUUCCGCGUGGCGCAGAGGCGGGCCUGAGGUUCGCCACUCGGCACGGGCUUCCCCGCGCCCGGCCUGGGAUGGAGACCGUGGCGCCCGCGACCCCCUCUUCUCCCGCAGCUCCGCCCGCAGAGCUCGAUGGCGGCGGCCGCGCGGAGGACCCGCCUCAGAGGUCUCCCGUGAGAAGGGCAUUUCCCAGGCAGGACUCCUAGGGCAGAUCCAUCGUUCAUGAAGAGCCACCCCUGUGAAAUGUGUGGCCUCACAGACAAUUGGCACUUGGAUGAGCAGCAGCCAACACAUGACAGGCAGAAACUGCACAGAUUUGUAGAAAUGGAAUUGCUGCAAAAAAGUACUGCAUGUUCAUGCUGGAUAUGACAAGCUUCCUUUUCUACAGUUUGUUCCAGUUUGUACUCAAACCAACAGGAAAUCAUGACCGCAGGGAUGUGGCAUUGUGCUCAGGACGAACGAGGGCAGUCUCUUCCCAGGUCCUGCAGAGGAGCCGUGGAGCCUGCUGUGCACAACUGUUGAGGGAUCAUCCUCAUUCCAGACACGCUGGACUCACAGGACGAGGGGGCAGGACGCUGCAACCGACUGCUGGGCACGUGCCUCUCAGGACAGCAUCCGCCUGACCCGCCACUGUGGCUGGGAAGGAUGAGCAGGGCUGUACCCCCAGCACAUGGAAGUUUCUGGGUGGGGGAUCUAAUUGGAACUACAGCUGCCAGCCUUCACCACAGCCACAGCAACACGGAAUCCGAGCUGCAUCUGGGACCUACACCACAGCUCACGGCAAUGCCGGAUCCUUAACCCACUGAGUGAGGCCAGGGAUGGAACCCGUGUCCUCAUGGAUACUAGCGGGGUUCUUAACCUGCUGACCCACCAAUAACUCCCUGAACAUUUUAAAGUUUAUUUUCUAUUUUUUAUGUAAAAUAUUCUCAGUCGCUUUUCUUGAAUCUAGAUACUCAACAAUACAGUAAAUCAAGCCAUGGUUUGUAAUGUUUGUCAUUUUCGAUGACAUGACACACCCACCACAGCCAAUUUAAAACUGUCAGUAUGGGAGCAUUGGCCAAGACGGUGGAGCAGAAAGACCCUGAGUUCACCUACUCUCAGGAGCACCCUGAAAUUACAACUAUCUGCAGAAAAACCAUCUGUGAAAAAGCCUGGAAAGCACUAAAAACAUCUUCCGUAUCUAAAGACACAAAGGACCCACAGGUCGACAGGAAGGAGGAUGGGCUUGCAUUGCCGAUGGGUGAGCAACCCACCCGUUGAAGCAUAAUUAUGUUGCAGAGGGGCUCACACAAGACAGAAUUCUGAGCCCCACAUUAGUCUACCCAGCCUGGGGUUCCUGCACUGGGAUGAUGAGCCCCUGAAUCAUUGGCUUUCAAGACCAGUGGGGCUUAAUUCAGGUGUCCCAAAGGGAGGAGGGUCUCGAACCCAACUAGUAUCCAUGAGGAUGUAGGUUCAAUCCCUGGCCUUGCUCAGUGGGUUAAGGAUCUGGUGUUGCCGUGAGCUGUGCUGUAGGCCAGUGGCUACAGCUCUGAUUAGACCCCUAGCCUGGGCACCUGCAUAUGCUGCAAGUGUGGCCCUAGAAAAGACAAAAAGACCAAAAAAAGUGUCCCAAAGGACUUGGGAAAUAGAAACGUCACUCUUAAAGGACACACGAAGACAGACCCACAGAAAAAGCAGUAAUUUUAUAGGAGCGUGGGCCAGACCUACCUGCUCAUCUUAGUCUCCUGGAGCGUUAGAGGGUGGCUGCUGCUCACCUUGAGGACAUGCCCAUGUGUGUUCACCGUAUUUCAGAGCUUUCUAGCAUUCAGGCUCUGCCGCUGGGGUCACCAUCAUGAGAUUCUCCCUCUAGCUCACAGUACCGAGACCUGGCCCCACAUAACCGCCUGUGGGUGGGAUGCCUCAGGCCAAACACUUGGCUGGGGCUCUGUCACCUAGAGACAGACUGCUACGAGACUUCCUGAGUCCACAGCUGCCUCUGCACACAACUCUAGCCACAGCCCUGCCCUUGAGAGCUCAGACCUGCCCUCCCGGAAGGCUGCAGUAGCUUAUGGACCAGCUUAUCCCACCAAGAGGCAGAAACCAGAUGCACAAAAACACAACCUUGUAGCCUGCAGAUCCAGAGAGUCCACAGCAGGUCAGAACCUACCCUGGGAUCACCCAGUGGCAGGCCAGCACUAGCCUCGGAAUAUCCCAGACCCCAUACCCAACUGUGUCAGAAACUUCACCUAUCCGUCCCCACCACAGUGAUCGGAGACACUAACACCAGCUCUGGGGUCCCAGGGCCCUACAGCCAGACCCCUGGACUCAGCUCUACCUGCCAGGAGUCUGGCACCAACCCCAGGAUUUGGCGAAAAGCAUUUUCUCUAAGAUCAGGAACCAGACAAGGAUGCCCACUCUUACCACUUUAAUUCAAUGCAAUUUUCAUAGUCCUACCCUCAGCAGUCAUAUAAGGAAAAGAAACAAAGGGAAUCCAAAUGGAAGAAGAAAACUUGAGUGUUUGCAGAUGGCGUAUUACACCUAGGGAAUCCUAAAGAUGCCACCAGAAACGCGCUAGAGGUUAUCUGUCAUUUCACUGCAGAGUACAAAAUGAACCUGAAGAAGUGUUGCACUUCCACAUACAACAGCCUGUCCAAAAGAAAAUCAGUGAGGCAAUCCCAUUUACCACUGCACAAAAAAGAAUAAAAUACCUACGAAUAAACCUACAUUAAGACACUGAUGAAAGAAAUUGAAGACAGAAACAGAUGGACAGAUAUUCCAUGUUCUUUGGUUGGAAGAAUUAAUGCAGUCCCUAUCAAAAUACCAACAGCAUUUUUCACAGAAGAAAUAAUUUAAAAUUUUGUAUGAAAAAAAAAAAGACCCUGAGUAGCCAAAACAAUCUUGAGAAAGAAGGGAACUGUAGGAAUUGUGACCCCUGACUUCAGACAAUACUGCAAAACUACAGUAAUCACAACAGUAUGACAAUGGCACAAAAACAUAAAUGGAACAGAAAAGAACCCAGAGAUAAAGCCAUGCACUUUUAGUUAGUUAAAUCUGCAACAGAGGAGGCAAGAAUACACCAUGGAGAAAACACAGUCUCUUCAAUAAGUGGUGCUGGGAAAACUAGACAGCUACAUUUGAAAGGGUAAAAUGAGAAUGCUGACACCAUAUACAAAACUAAACUCUGGAGCUCCCAUUGUGGCUCAGCAAAAACGAAUCUGACUAGCAUUCAUGAGGAGGCGGGUUCAAUGGGUGAAAAUGUUUGCAAAUGAUAUGACUGAUAAGGAGUUAAUAUCCCAACAUAUAUAUAUAUACAUAAACACACACACAAAGCUCAUGCGACUAAACAUUAAUUUUUUUGUUUUGUCUUUGUCUUUUAUCUUUUUAGAGCUGCACCUGUUCCCAGGCUAGGGGUCUAAUUGGAGCUGUAGCCGCCCGCCUACGCCAGAGCCAUAGCAACGCCAGAUCCGAGCUGCAUCUGCGACCUACACCACAGCUCACGGCAACGCUGGAUCCUUAACCCACUGAGCAAGGCCAGAGAUAGAACCUGCAAACUCAUAAUUCUUCGUCAGAUUCGUUUCUGCUGUGCCACGACAGGAACUACAAAAAAAUUUUUUUUAAAUGGGUAGAGAGUUCCCACCAUGGUUAAGAAUCUGACUGAUGUGGCUCAGGUCACUGGAGGUGCAGUGAUCUCUGGCCCAGGGCAGUGGUUUAAGGAUCUGGUGUUGAUGCAGCUGUGGCUCAUUCCAUCUGCAGGUGCAGCCAGAAAAAGAAAAAUGGGCAGAAGAAACAGACAUGCUUUUCAAAGUGGAAAAGCAGAUGGCCAACAUCGCUAAUCACCAGGGAAAUACCAAUCAAAACCACACUGAGCUAUCGCCUCACACCAGUCAGGAUGGCCAUUGUCAGAAAGAACACAAAUAACAAACACUGGAGCAAGUGUGGAGAAAAGGGAACACUCGUGCAGUACUGGUGAGAAUGUUAAUUGGUGCAGCUAGUGUACAAAAAAUGGAGGUUCCCCCCCACACACACACAAAAAUAGAACUACUUUGUGACCCAGCAUUCCCCUCCUGGGCAUACAUCUGAAAAAAUAAAAACACCAAUUCAAAAUGAUACAGGUACCCCAGGGUUCACAGCAGUUUCACUUACAACUGCUAAGACAUGGGAACAGCCUACAGUGUCCUUCAAUACUUGAAUGGGUGGAUACACAAUGGAAUACCACUGGAUCAUUUAGAAAGAACAAAAUGUUGCCAUUUACAGCAACAUGGAUAGAGUUGGUGAGCAUUAGCCUACAUGAAGUAAGUUAAAGAGAAACACUAGUGCAGUGGCUUACUGCCAGAAAAGCUGCAAAUUAACUUCAAGAAGACAAAGUAAUAAAAUGUAGUAUGAUUAGGAAGUUGGCAGUUCUAAUUAAAUAGUUUUAAUGGAGGUAUAAUUGACUUAAAACAAACUGCACAUUCUGACGUGUGCUCAUAACCCUGAAACUAAGUUUCCUCCUGCCUUUUCAAAUGUAUCCUCAACAUAUAAAAUUCCUGAUACAGUGACAUAUUCUAUAUUUUGUUACGGCUAUUUUCAAAUAUAUACAGAAAGUGAAGAAUGUUUUGAAGCCAGAUGGAUCCCUCCCAGUCACUUCAUGGCCAUUCUUCUCCUUUCAUCUAUUGCCAUGUACACCAGCGGAGGAGUUUCCCACCAUCCCCCCUGACUCACGAUUUUGCUUUCUGGGGUUUCAGUUAGCCAUAGUCAACCAAGCUCUGAAAAGCUAAAAGGAAAAUUCCACAAAUAAGCAUCUGUGAGUGUUAAACCCUGUGCCAGUCUGCACAAGCACGUCUCCUGCCGCCCUCUUCAUCCCCCCACGAUGUCCAUCAUCCCUUUGGCCGGUGCAUCCAAGCGGGCGUCGUAUCAUCGCACAUGCUCACACUUAGUGAACCACAAGAUACUGAGCGAGAACACAUUCACUUUUAUUGCAGUCAACUGUUCUGUUUUAUUAUUGGUUAAUCUCUUACUACGCUUACUUUAUACAUUAAACUUAAUCACAGGUAUGUAUGCAUAGGAAAAAAACAUAGUAUAUAUAAGGUUUAGUAUGAUCCAUGGUUUCUGGCAUCUACUUGGGGAUCUUCGAAUGGUUUACUGCACAUUUUUCGAAGAUUUUUGCUGCAGAUAAGGGGUGACAACUGCACCUAUAAUUCCAAGCAUGUUAUCAUUUAAUGCAUAACCUCUUCAGAAUAGAUUUUAUUACUUUUUUAUUUUUAGGGCUGCACCUGAGACAUCUGGAUGUACCCAGGCUAGGGGUCCAACUGGAGCUGCAGCUGCCUGCCUACACCAUAACCACAGGCCAGAUCAUUAACCCAUUGAUCGAUACCAGGGGUCAAACCUGCGUUCUUAUGGAUACUGAUUGGGUUCAUUAUCACUGAACCACAAUGGGAACUCCAGAAUACAUUUUUUAAAUGUAAGGUAAUCCUUCAUAACCCCAAAAGUUAUAAAAAUACAUUUUAUUAAUGCUCAAUUGUUUCAAAAAUGAAUUUGCUUAAGUCAGAUUAGUUGAAGUCAGAGUCCAAAAUGUAUUCUUACGUCUUUCAUUAGCUGUGUCUCACAGGUCUCUUUACAUAUGAGGUCCACUUAUCUUUUAAAAUUCUUAGUUCUUAUAAUUUGCUGUCAUUUAUUCAUCAGAAUUUUCUACAUUCUAGAUAUGGCUUUUUGAGUCUCUGAUACUGUUUAACUGAUCACCCUUCCUCUGUAAUUCUUGUCCACUAGAUGUUGAUGAGAUGGGUGACAAGAUUUGAUCCCUUAAGACAGGUGUUUGAUGAUGACUGUUAGGGAAGUAAAAACAAAAAUUUCUCCCAACCUAGAAAUUUUUUUUUUUUUUUUUUUUUUUUUUUUGUCUUUUAGCCUUUUCUAGGGCCACUCCCUCGGCAUAUAGAGGUUCCCAGGCUAGGGGUCUAAUUGGAACUACAGCCGCUGGCGCCAGAGCCACAGCAAUGUGGGAUGCGAGCCGAGUCUACAACCUACACCACAGCUCACAGGAACACUGGAUCCUUAACCCAUUGAGCGAGGCCAGGGAUCGAACCCGCAACCUCAUGGUUCCUAGUCGGAUUCGUUCACCACUGUGCCACGAUGGCAACUCCCAACCUAGAAAUUCUUUCCACAAAGAUAGCAGAGACAGAAAACUGCUUUUCUUGUUGAUAAGCAUUAAAGCAAAAUAGAUGUGCAUCACAAGUGAUCUACCAGGAAAUUGCAAAGGCAGCAAAAAACUCUGCAUAUGUCCAAGCAGAUAUAUCCCACUGAAUACAUUUUUUCCCUUUUUUGGGCCACACCUGCAGUAUAUGGAAGUUCCCAGGCUAGGGGUCGAAUUGAAGCUGUAGCCGCCAGCCUACACCAGAGCCACAGCAACGCGAGAUCCCAGCUGCGUCUGCGACCUACACCAUAGCUCAUGGCAAUACCGGAUCCUUAACCCACUGAGCAGGGCCAGGGAUUGAACUUGAAACCUCAUUGAUACUAGUCAGGCUCAUGAUUGCUGAGCUGCAAGAGAGCUCUGCAUACGUAUAUUCGAGAAAAACAGUAACUGGUCCUCAUGUAAGAGGAGCUGACAGAACCAUUUGUCACAGAGUCCUAAUUUUACCGGCUAAUUGGGGUGACCUGUUAGCUAACUGGUUUUAUCCAGAGGAAGAAUCAACUUCUCACCUUUCAAGAGGGAGCUUUGUAGUUGGAGCAAGGCGUCUGCUAAGAUGAGACUCCUGUCCUCACACCAGCUGACCCUCCUUUGUCUGCAGUUUGGACAGAUGGGUUCCACGUUCUUGAGAAAAACAUUCUGAUUCACAAAACUGAAAGGGAAAAAUGACCAGCUGAAAAAAGGCCUGUCUAGUCUUCAACGACAUGCAUGUUAAAGAUAUGAGACAGUUCUCAGAAUUUUUCAAAGAUAAAUGCUCUGAGGGAGAAGGAGGAAGCAUCUUUCCCUAUUUUCAACAGGGAGAAUUAAGCCAUUUUUUAAAUGUGUAUUUGUCGAAUAAUUUGUACAUGAAA